CGGGUGAGUAACGCGUGGAUAACCUGCCUUACACUGGGGGAUAACACUUAGAAAUAGGUGCUAAUACCGCAUAAGCGCACAGAGCCGCAUGGCUCAGUGUGAAAAACUCCGGUGGUGUAAGAUGGAUCCGCGUCUGAUUAGCUGGUUGGCGGGGUAGAAGCCCACCAAGGCGACGAUCAGUAGCCGGCCUGAGAGGGUGGACGGCCACAUUGGGACUGAGACACGGCCCAAACUCCUACGGAAGGCAGCAG
Molecule: ribosomal RNA, 251 nt
Filed under: uncultured bacterium
Lineage: Bacteria
Description: partial 16S ribosomal RNA
Rfam family: Bacterial small subunit ribosomal RNA
Source: RNAcentral